RNAcentral lists this ribosomal RNA (523 nucleotides) under uncultured bacterium. RNAcentral's name for it is "partial 16S ribosomal RNA". It matches the Rfam family "Bacterial small subunit ribosomal RNA", at positions 899 to 1397 of the family's 1533-position model. The record is from RNAcentral.
ACUCAAAUGAAUAGACGGGGACUUGCACAAGCAGUGGAUUAUGUGGUUUAAUUCGAUGAUAAACGAAGAACCUCACCAGGGUUUGAAACCUACGUGAAAGCCCCAAGAAACUGGGGCCCUCGCAAGACUAGUAGGCAGGUGCUGCAUGGUCGUCGUCAGUUCGUGGUUUGAAUUGUUCCCUUCAGUGGGGUAACGAACGCAACCCUCGUCGUGUGUUACAAGUGUCACACGAGACUGCCCCCGCUAUAGUUCACAAUCUUUCAUAAGGAUUGCGAAUUGCAGUGGGGGAGGAAGGCGAGGAUGACGCCAGAUCAGCAUGGCCCUCUGACAUCCUGGGCUACACACAUAAUACAAUCGCAGUUACAACGCGACGCAAUGGGGCGACCCGGAGCAAAUCGUAAGAAAAACUGCGCCAGUUCGGAUUGAAGUCUGCAACUCGACUUCAUGAAGCCGGAAUUGCUAGUAAUCGCGGGUCAGACAUACCGCGGUGAAUACGUUCUCAAGUCUUGUACACACCGCCCGU